RNAcentral lists this ribosomal RNA (377 nucleotides) under uncultured eukaryote. RNAcentral's name for it is "partial 18S ribosomal RNA". It matches the Rfam family "Eukaryotic small subunit ribosomal RNA", at positions 592 to 976 of the family's 1831-position model. The record is from RNAcentral.
CAAUAGCGUAUAUUUAAGUUGCUGCAGUUAAAAAGCUCGUAGUUGGAUUUCGGGUGGGAAUGGCCGGUCCGCCGUUUCGGUGUGCACUUGCUACGCCCACCUUGCUGCCGGGGACGUGCUCUUGAGUUCACGCUCGGGACACGGAGUCGGCGAGGUUACUUUGAGUAAAUUAGAGUGUUCAAAGCAGGCCUACGCUCUGAAUACAUUAGCAUGGAAUAACACGAUAGGACUCUGGCCUAUCUUGUUGGUCUGUAGGACCGGAGUAAUGAUUAAGAGGGACAGUCGGGGGCAUUCGUAUUUCAUUGUCAGAGGUGAAAUUCUUGGAUUUAUGAAAGACGAACUACUGCGAAAGCAUUUGCCAAGGGUGUCUUCAUUAA